GCCCGCUUGGCUAAGUGGUAUAGCGUGUCACUAGUAGAUGGGUUACGGUACCGAAUUCCCUCCAUUCUAGAUGCCAUGACAAGAUCAGCGGUUCGAUUCCGCUAGUGGGCA
Molecule: non-coding RNA, 111 nt
Organism: Xylaria palmicola
Lineage: Eukaryota; Fungi; Ascomycota; Sordariomycetes; Xylariales; Xylariaceae
Source: the annotation of a GenBank genome assembly